AAGUCGUAACAAGGUUUCCGUAGGUGAACCUGCGGAAGGAUCAUUAAAGAGGUAGGGUCUUCAUGCUCCGCACCUCCAUCUCUGAUGUCAUACUAUCCGUUGGUUGCUUGGCGGGACCGUCUCGGUCUCCGAGCGCACUAACCCUCGGGUUGGUGAGCGCCCGCCAGAGUCCAACCAAACUCUUGUACUAAACCAGUCGUCUGAGUAUAAAAUUUUAAUUAAAUUAAAA
Molecule: unclassified non-coding RNA, 229 nt
Filed under: plant metagenome
Description: partial contains small subunit ribosomal RNA and internal transcribed spacer 1
Rfam family: Eukaryotic small subunit ribosomal RNA (bases 1-46)
Source: RNAcentral